AAAAAAUGAAAUUUAGUCUCAAGUUAGAAAAAAGCCAAAUUACUUAAUUUUACUAAAAAUUUAUAAAUCAAUUAAACAAAAAUAAUAAAUAUGAAAAUUAAAUUGAAUAUAAAAUAACUACUAUAUAACUGUAAUGAUAUGAUAAUAUCAUGACAUGUAAAUAAUUAUGCUUUUAAUUAAAGAAAUAAAAAAAUAUUAAAAAAAAAAACUACGAAAACAUAUACUUUUCACUUGCAAUUAAUUAUUUAAACCCCAC
This 256-nucleotide long non-coding RNA is filed under the name Vigna radiata. RNAcentral's name for it is "long non-coding RNA (VRAD_LNC009748)". The record is from RNAcentral. Lineage: Eukaryota; Viridiplantae; Streptophyta; Magnoliopsida; Fabales; Fabaceae.